Molecule: ribosomal RNA, 253 nt
Filed under: uncultured bacterium
Lineage: Bacteria
Description: partial 16S ribosomal RNA
Rfam family: Bacterial small subunit ribosomal RNA
Source: RNAcentral
UACGUAGGGUGCGAGCGUUGUCCGGAAUUACUGGGCGUAAAGAGCUCGUAGGUGGUUUGUCGCGUUGUCCGUGAAAACUCACAACUCAAUUGUGGGCGUGCGGGCGAUACGGGCAGACUGGAGUACUGCAGGGGAGACUGGAAUUCCUGGUGUAGCGGUGGAAUGCGCAGAUAUCGGGAAGAACACCCGUGGCGAAGGCGGCUCUCUGGGACGGUACUGACGCUGAGACGCGAAAGCGUGGGGAGCGAACAGG